Molecule: small nuclear RNA, 129 nt
Filed under: Ischnochiton australis
Lineage: Eukaryota; Metazoa; Mollusca; Polyplacophora; Chitonida; Ischnochitonidae
Description: partial U2 snRNA
Rfam family: U2 spliceosomal RNA
About the family: U2 is a small nuclear RNA (snRNA) component of the spliceosome (involved in pre-mRNA splicing). Complementary binding between U2 snRNA (in an area lying towards the 5' end but 3' to hairpin I) and the branchpoint sequence (BPS) of the intron results the bulging out of an unpaired adenosine, on the BPS, which initiates a nucleophilic attack at the intronic 5' splice site, thus starting the first of two transesterification reactions that mediate splicing.
Source: RNAcentral
CAAAGUGUAGUAUCUGUUCUUAUCAGCUUAAUAUCUGAUACGUCUUCCAUUGGAAGACAUCGAUAUUAAACUGAUUUUUGGAACUAGGUGAGAGACUUGGGGCUUGCUCCAUCCUCGCCACGGGUUGAC